GAUGAACGCUGGCGGCGUGCCUAAUACAUGCAAGUCGAGCGAACAGACGAGGCGCUUGCUCCUCUGACGUUAGCGGCGGACGGGUGAGUAACACGUGGAUAACCUACCUAUAAGACUGGGAUAACUUCGGGAAACCGGAGCUAAUACCGGAUAAUAUAUUGAACCGCAUGGUUCAAUAGUGAAAGACGGUUUUGCUGUCACUUAUAGAUGGAUCCGCGCCGCAUUAGCUAGUUGGUAAGGUAACGGCUUACCAAGGCAACGAUGCGUAGCCGACCUGAGAGGGUGAUCGGCCACACGGGAACGGAGACACGGUCCAGACUACUACGGGAGGCAGCAGUAGGGAAUCGGCCGCAAUGGGCGAAAGCCUGACGGAGCAACGCCGCGUGAGUGAUGAAGGUCUUCGGAUCGUAAAACUCUGUUAUGAGGGAAGAACAAAUGUGUAAGUAACUAUGCACGUCUUGACGGUACCUAAUCAGAAAGCCACGGCUAACUACGUG
This 497-nucleotide ribosomal RNA is filed under the name uncultured bacterium. RNAcentral describes it as "partial 16S ribosomal RNA". It matches the Rfam family "Bacterial small subunit ribosomal RNA", at positions 28 to 507 of the family's 1533-position model. The record is from RNAcentral.